RNAcentral lists this long non-coding RNA (251 nucleotides) under Lathyrus oleraceus (garden pea). Its description in RNAcentral is "Pisum sativum (pea) long non-coding RNA (PSAT_LNC017433)". The record is from RNAcentral. Lineage: Eukaryota; Viridiplantae; Streptophyta; Magnoliopsida; Fabales; Fabaceae.
UUGGCAUAUAAUCGACAGAUUAAAAAGGGAAAUAGUUUUGUUUGCCUUAGUCUAUACUGCGUAACACUGGAGUUAUUAUAUCGACUAAAUUAGUCCCUGGCAACAGCGUCAAAAACUUGAUCGCGACUUAGUAUGUCUAUAGGAUUUGUGAGUGCAAGUGCACAGACGUAUCACGUACUUUUAAAGAUUAUCGAACCCAAAAGACUAAUAAUCGAACUUACCGUUAUCUAAUGUUACUACGUAAAUCUAAG